GCGGGUGUAGCUCAGUGGUAGAGCGUCAGCUUCCCAAGCUGAAUGUCGUCGGUUCGAUCCCGUCCACCCGCU
RNAcentral lists this transfer RNA (72 nucleotides) under Phycisphaerales bacterium. RNAcentral describes it as "tRNA-Gly". It matches the Rfam family "tRNA". Rfam says of the family: Transfer RNA (tRNA) molecules are approximately 80 nucleotides in length. Their secondary structure includes four short double-helical elements and three loops (D, anti-codon, and T loops). Further hydrogen bonds mediate the characteristic L-shaped molecular structure. tRNAs have two regions of fundamental functional importance: the anti-codon, which is responsible for specific mRNA codon recognition, and the 3' end, to which the tRNAs corresponding amino acid is attached (by aminoacyl-tRNA synthetases). tRNAs cope with the degeneracy of the genetic code in two manners: having more than one tRNA (with a specific anti-codon) for a particular amino acid; and 'wobble' base-pairing, i.e. permitting non-standard base-pairing at the 3rd anti-codon position. The record is from RNAcentral. Lineage: Bacteria; Pseudomonadati; Planctomycetota; Phycisphaerae; Phycisphaerales.